CAAUAGCGUAUAUUAAAGUUGUUGCAGUUAAAAAGCUCGUAGUUGGAUUUGUGGCGUACGGUGUGUUCCGGGCACUUGUUGUCUGAGUAACCUGCUGUUGCCAUCCUUGGGUGGAACCUGUGUGGCAUUAGGUUGUCGUGCAGGGGAUGCCCAUCAUUUACUGUGAAAAAAUUAGAGUGUUCAAAGCAGGCUUAUGCCGUUGAAUAUAUUAGCAUGGAAUAAUGAGAUAGGACUUGUUUGCUAUUUUGUUGGUUUGCGCAAAGAGGUAAUGAUUAAUAGGGACAGUUGGGGGUAUUCGUAUUCCAUUGUCAGAGGUGAAAUUCUUGGAUUUUUGGAAGACGAACUACUGCGAAAGCAUUUACCAAGGAUGUUUUCAUUAA
Molecule: ribosomal RNA, 380 nt
Filed under: uncultured eukaryote
Lineage: Eukaryota
Description: partial 18S ribosomal RNA
Rfam family: Eukaryotic small subunit ribosomal RNA
Source: RNAcentral